AUACGGAGGAUCCGAGCGUUAUCCGGAUUUAUUAGGUUUAAAGGGUGCGCAGGCGGAACUGUAAGUCACCGGUGAAAUCCUACAGCUUAACUGUAGAACUGCCGGUGAUACUGCGAUUCUUGAGUAUAGUUGAGGUAGGCGGAAUGUGUAGUGUAGCGGUGAAAUGCAUAGAUAUUUCACAGAACACCGAUUGCGAAGGCAGCUUACUAAACUAUUACUGACGCUCAUGCACGAAAGCGUGGGGAGCGAACAGGAUUAGAUACCCGAGUAGUCC
RNAcentral lists this ribosomal RNA (274 nucleotides) under uncultured bacterium. RNAcentral describes it as "partial 16S ribosomal RNA". It matches the Rfam family "Bacterial small subunit ribosomal RNA", at positions 523 to 796 of the family's 1533-position model. The record is from RNAcentral.